GGAUGUGAGGGAGAUCUGGCUGCGACAUCGGUCACCCCAUUGAGGUCCUGGGUUGAUUCAGCUGAUCUGGCUGGCUAAGCGGGUGUCCCCUUCCUCCCUCACUGCUCCAUAUGCAUCCCACCUGAAGCUGCAUGCUCCGUCUAAGAGCACGACCUUCCCUGAAUAGAUGAGGACCAGUCUUCAGCCAAGGGCAUACAAGUAGCUGUGCUCCCCUGCUAGAACUUCCAAACAAGCUCUCAAGAAAGUAACAUAUAAUCUUCCUUGUUGUAAAUAUAAUCACAGUUACAGAUGUGUCUUAAGAAGUGUGUAUGCAUGUAUAUACAUGUAUGUGCUU
Molecule: small nuclear RNA, 334 nt
Filed under: Microtus ochrogaster (prairie vole)
Lineage: Eukaryota; Metazoa; Chordata; Mammalia; Rodentia; Cricetidae
Description: 7SK RNA (ENSMOCG00000010095.1)
Rfam family: 7SK RNA
About the family: 7SK was discovered as an abundant small nuclear RNA in the mid-70s but a possible function has only recently been suggested.
Source: RNAcentral